Molecule: RNA transcript, 3501 nt
Organism: Wyeomyia smithii (pitcher-plant mosquito)
Lineage: Eukaryota; Metazoa; Arthropoda; Insecta; Diptera; Culicidae
Gene: NPFR
Gene name: neuropeptide F receptor
Exons: 5
Source: RefSeq, a predicted model, not a curated record
GUUCCGCGUUAACACUCGUCCUUGGCGGAUGUGUUCUUUCUAGGUACGCUUCGAAAAUAAGAAAUCUUUGCUCAUUACUGGACUUUCUCGGUUCGUCCAAUGUUUAACAGCAAACCGUAAUAAAGUGCGAGGACAUUCGAUUGGUUCGUGGUUUCAUUUGCCGUGCCUAUUUCCCGAUGGCGACCGUGAUUGUGAUAAAUUGUGUAGCAUUGUUGCAAAGUUUCCGGUAAUGGAUGAGUAUGGCGAUUUUUGGAGAUAUUUCUCCAACGCUUCCGAAUAUGGAAUACGUGUUGAAAAUGUUGAAGUUCGUAGCGGGUGCGAAGCGGUAUUUUUUCUGAAAGCACGAAAGGAUAUGCUGUGUUAUUGGUGUCAAGAAUAAAGAAUGAGAGUAAUUUGUAAUAAAUUAAAUGUUGGCUUGGGUGCAGAAGUUUAAUUUGGGCUUUUCCAUUGAAGUGAUAGUAGGAUUGAAAACUAGAUUCGUCUUCUUUCUAAUAAAGGUGUUUUAAUAUGUUCUGGUGAUGUGUUGGAUUCAAUUCUAAUUCAAUAGACGUAACAAAAUUCACAAAUGGUGUAGUUUUCUGGCACGUGAAGUUUUCCGGUGAAGUUAUCUGGCAGACAGAACAAAUUGGCGGCACUAACUAGGAUUGUACAGUAAAAUAGAGUCAAGGCAUCAAUCGACUAAGAAAAGGAAAAGGAUGAUAUCAUCACCGUGCGACGUCAAUCAUGCUGUGUCCAUUUACUUCGGUGUGCAAACCGGAAGAAUCUACAAACCCUAAAAAAGUGAUAGAUAAAACCAUCACGUAUAUCAAUAGCGAAAUUAUGUUGACAGACUACCAUUAGAGAAAGAUAGCAAUACGAUAUAGUGUACCAUUCCAUUCCACGGCAAAAAUGGAAAUCGUGUUAUCCCGAGUGAAUCUUAGCUUGGAUAAUGUGACGCUUGCCACCACAUUUCGACAAGGUUUAAUCGAGCAGUUUACCCAUAACCGUAAAGUAGACGAACCAGCAUUUCAUAUACUGAUUGUAAUGUACAGCAUACUAAUCGUGUUUGGUGCCACCGGCAACAGCCUGGUAGUAAUGGCCGUGGUUCGAAAACCCCAAAUGCGGACAGCACGCAACAUGUUUAUCGUCAAUCUGGCAAUUUCUGAUUUGCUGCUCUGCCUGGUAACGAUGCCACUGACGCUGGUGGAAAUUCUGACCAAGUAUUGGCCAAUGGGUCCGCUGCCGUUUCUGUGCAAGUCGAUAGGCACCCUGCAGGCCACCAGCAUUUUCGUGUCCACUAUUUCUAUCACAGCAAUUGCGUUGGAUAGGUAUCAGGUAAUCGUCUAUCCUACGCGCGACAGCCUGCAGGUGAUGGGUGCCAUUGUGAUACUAACCGGCAUCUGGAUCAUCUCACUGAUCCUUGCAUCACCGAUGUUCAUCAUCCGGCAGCUUAUACAUUACGAUGUGCACCUGCUUAGCCUCGGGAUUGAUUACAUCUCGUACUGUGUCGAGGAGUGGCCGAUAGCCCACGGUAGGGUAUAUUACUCGGUAUUCACACUGUGCGUCCAGUAUCUGCUGCCAAUUUUAACGGUCUCGGUGGCUUACCUACGAAUAUAUUUUAAGCUAAAGCACCGACUAGUAGUGACGACGACAAGCAUCACCACUAGUGCGACAUCGAAUGAAGGCAAACCGUUGCGAGAGCGAGAACGAGGUCGACGGAUGCAACGUACGAACUAUCUGCUGAUAAGUAUAGCCUUAAUUUUUGGAAUCUCAUGGCUUCCACUGAACCUUUUCAACCUAAUUGCCGACCUGUAUUUGGACGGGAUCACACAGGAGAUCAUGGUCGGGUAUGCGGUUUGUCACAUGAUGGGUAUGAGCUCGGCUUGCUCUAAUCCCCUACUUUACGGUUGGUUGAAUGAUAACUUUCGGAAAGAAUUCAACGAACUGCUGUGCAGAAAGGAUACGCAUAUGGUUUCUGCGAAUGGAGGAGGAAAAUCUAUCUCGCGAAAAAAUCGAACUUCGGUAGCUGCUCCGGAAGUAACGCAGGUGGGAGACAAAUAUCGAACAAAUAGUGACCAAACCGAGCUUACCGAGCUUAUGCCGUAAAUCGAAGCAUGUUUUGUACCCAUUGUUGACACAGAAACCGCAACCGUUAAUCCAAACAUCCGCUGCAUCCCACGUGAGGUGUGCAAUGCUAACAGUUACUUGUUAUACAUCAGGAACACACAAACACAUACAUGUAGUUGAUCCGCAUUUAGUUAAUUUACACAUUUCCAACACAGGAACUUGAAUCCAUUUUGGGAGAAACGAAUCGGCAGCAUGGACCAGCAGGACUGCAUGAAUUUGUGUAGUGUGGAGAAUAGCGUGUGAGAAUAACACAUUUUUGAGGUCAAAAUAGUUGUAUCCCUUCGAUGUGUGCACAGUAUUUUUACCAGUCACCGUAUUUGGCAUUUGAAGCAAAUCAAAAUGAAAACCAACAUUCAUAAUAAUACAACAACGGUAGGUGUUUUGCUACUACCGGACGAAACCAACGAGAAAGGCUUUUGCGCUUCCAUUGUAAAUAUAAAAAUGUUUUGUGCGACGUUAGACUAAGUGAAGGCGUUUAAAAAAAACCCCAAAGCGCCUAUAGAUAGUCCCAUGAAGAAGUGACAGCUUAAUUCCUAGUACCAUGAAACGCAACGUUGGCCACUGUCAGUAGCCUAAGUAAAACUGUAUAUAUAGCAGAAUGGAAUGGGCAAGGCAGUUUGACUGGCAUCGUUUAGUAUAGAGGAUGUAAAUACGAUAUUCCAAUAUAUGAAAACUUUUGAAUGGAUGUGGCAAAUUGAGAAGGAGAUUUAUUUGUGAGAUUUACUAGCGUGAAUUUUCGAUUGUCCGUGAUCGACUUAGCCUCUAUGAAUAAAAUAAUCGAAUUCUAUAUCAUUUAUAGGUUAACAUAAUUGAAUACAAUUCUACAAACUGCUUGUUGAUUGUUUGUAAGUCGGUUUCGGAAUAAAUAAAUGUUUUCUUCCACUAUUUGACGAAGAGAAUUCAAGCAUUUAUCAGGUAACAUAUUAUUAUAGGUGAAAUGGAUUUAAUCCAGAACUGAAUAAGUAGAACAAUUUGGCUGGUUCAAAAACAAUUGCCCAUUCGAGCCCGACAAUGAAAUUAUUCCAAUUAAUUGCUGCAGUGAACAAACAGCGUUAAUAGAAAGAGAGCGCUUUUCAUAGAUUUUGAGUGAAACAAUAUUGCAUCAAUUAAAAAUUAAUUAGAAUAAAUUCACAGUUCUGCAAUUGAUAAAACUCGAAACAGUAAAUUUUUCUACUUGUCCUUUUUAUUAAAAAAUAACAGGCGUAAAAAAGGUUUGUUAACGGGGUUUCAAAGUUUUACGACCAAUUAUAUGAAAUGUAAUUCAGUGAGAAAUGCAAUUUAAAAAAUAAACUCUGUAAAAUUUUCUGCAUAGUCCUUACCAAAACAGCGGUGAAUUUUAAUUUACUGUUUGUAUAUUUAGUCAUAUCGGGGAUAAAUAAAGCAUUUUUAUACAAA